RNAcentral lists this ribosomal RNA (228 nucleotides) under uncultured bacterium. RNAcentral's name for it is "partial 16S ribosomal RNA". It matches the Rfam family "Bacterial small subunit ribosomal RNA", at positions 111 to 334 of the family's 1533-position model. The record is from RNAcentral.
UAACGCGUAGGUAACCUGCCUGGUAGCGGGGGGUAACUAUUGGAAACGAUAGCUAAUACCGCAUGACAACAGUUAUUGCAUGAUAACUGUUUAAAAGGGGCAACUGCUCCACUACCAGAUGGACCUGCGUUGUAUUAGCUAGUUGGUGAGGUAACGGCUCACCAAGGCGACGAUACAUAGCCGACCUGAGAGGGUGAUCGGCCACACUGGGACUGAGACACGGCCCAG